UACGUAGGGGGCAAGCGUUGUCCGGAAUCACUGGGCGUAAAGCGCGUGUAGGCGGCUCGGUAAGUCUGCUGUUAAAGUCCAGGGCUCAACCCUGGGAUGCCGGUGGAUACUGUCGAGCUCGAGUCCGGAAGAGGAGUGUGGAAUUCCUGGUGUAGCGGUGAAAUGCGCAGAUAUCAGGAGGAACACCGGUGGCGAAGGCGGGACUCUGGGCCGAUACUGACGCUGAGGAGCGAAAGCGUGGGGAGCAAACAGG
Molecule: ribosomal RNA, 253 nt
Filed under: uncultured bacterium
Lineage: Bacteria
Description: partial 16S ribosomal RNA
Rfam family: Bacterial small subunit ribosomal RNA
Source: RNAcentral